This 161-nucleotide ribosomal RNA is filed under the name uncultured bacterium. Its description in RNAcentral is "partial 16S rRNA". It matches the Rfam family "Bacterial small subunit ribosomal RNA", at positions 355 to 510 of the family's 1533-position model. The record is from RNAcentral.
UAGGGAAUCUUCCACAAUGGACGAAAGUCUGAUGGAGCAACGCGCGUGAGUGAAGAAGGUUUCGGCUCGUAAAACUCUGUUGUUAAAGAAGAACAUAUCUGAGAGUAACUGUUCAGGUAUUGACGGUAUUUAACCAGAAAGCCACGGCUAACUACGUGCCA